This 3783-nucleotide small RNA is filed under the name Pongo abelii (Sumatran orangutan). Its description in RNAcentral is "retained intron". The record is from RNAcentral. Lineage: Eukaryota; Metazoa; Chordata; Mammalia; Primates; Hominidae.
CGCGCCUUUCACCGGCACCUUGCGUCGGUCGCGCCGCGGGGCCUGCUCCUGCCGCGCGCACCCCCGGGGCUUCGGCUCCGGCACGGGUCGCGCCCAGCUUUCCUGCCCCUGAGGCCGCCGGCCAGCCGCCGCCAUGGGUGCCUACCUCUCCCAGCCCAACACGGUGAAGUGCUCCGGGGACGGGGUCGGUGCCCCGCGCCUGCCGCUGCCCUACGGCUUCUCCGCCAUGCAAGGCUGGCGCGUCUCCAUGGAGGAUGCUCACAACUGUAUUCCAGAGCUGGACAGUGAGACAGCCAUGUUUUCUGUCUACGAUGGACAUGGAGGUAACUUUAACAGAUCAUAUUGGUAACAUUCUAGGACUCCAAUUCCAGACGUUCCAGGGCAAGAACAGGUCCCUUGUUCAUUUACUUUCCAAGGCCUGGCCCUCAUUAUCAUUUCCUGCCUGGUGCUGUUUUUCUGUAUUCUGUCAUUCUUUUUUCCCAGUAGGUACUGUAUCGGUUUAUAAUCUUACCAGGACUUGUUUUAAUCCAAAGAGCCUCUUUAUCUUUUUUUAUUUUUUUAAUCUUUAUUUUUAUUUUAUUUUUAUUUUUUAAAAUUUAUUUUUAAAAUUUUUAGGCCAGGCGCACGGUAGCUCACGCCUGUAAUCCCAGCACAGUGGAUCACGAGGUCAGGAGUUCGAGACCAGCCUGACCAAUAUGGUGAAACCCCAUCUCUACUAAAAAUACAAAAAUUAGCUGGGCGUAGUGGCGGGCGCCUCGGGAGGCUGAGGCAGGAGAAUUACUUGAACCUGGGAAAUGGAGGUUGCAGUGAGGCAAGACCAUGCCACAGCACUCCAGCCUGGGCAACAGAGCAAGACUCUGUGUUAAAAAAAAAAAAAAAUGUGUACCCAGAUGAGCUGAUUCUUUAUCUUUUUUUCACUGGAGAACUAAGUAUACAGGUGAGAAAAGAUGAGAUAUUUAUACCCGAGAGAAUUGAUGGCGAAAUCCAUUGUUUUGGAUCAGAACUUCCCCAAACAGUGUCCUUCAAAUAGGGUUCAGGGGUGCUAAGAUAUUUAUCCCCUCAACCCUUGGGGUUCACUCCAGUAUGGCAUAUAAAUAUUGUAUCACUUUCUAUGUGUGGGGAGCAGUGCUCCAGGUGACCUUCCUUCCUUUCCUUCUAGGGGAGGAAGUUGCCUUGUACUGUGCCAAAUAUCUUCCUGAUAUCAUCAAAGAUCAGAAGGCCUACAAGGAAGGCAAGCUGCAGAAGGUGUGUCUGCUUAACACUGCCCAUUCCUCACUUGUGUAGGCUUUUCCCUUGUUCUCUAGCUCUUGGGCUUUUCCUUUCUUUUUGUCCUUUAGCUGCUGCUGCUUAUUUACUCAUGAAGAAUUCUGUUCCUAAAAUGAGCUUAUUGGCCGCCUUUUAGACUUGUCUUAUUAUUCCUAGGCCUCUGAACUGUUUUUGUCUGUGAGUGUCUCUUAGUGUGGUGGCUCACACUCUAAUUUGUAUUCCAUCCUUGUGCUCAGGAUUGUACAUAGGGAGUUCAUUUUGUACUACUCUUAGACUAUUUUGCUCAUAUUCAGGCUUUAGAAGAUGCCUUCUUGGCUAUUGAUGCCAAACUGACCACUGAGGAAGUCAUUAAAGAGCUGGCACAGAUUGCAGGGCGACCCACUGAGGAUGAAGAUGAAAAAGAAAAAGUAGCUGAUGAAGAUGAUGGUGAGUGUGGCAUCCCUUGUUUGAGGGGAAAUCAGCAUUUUAAGAAAUAUUAUUUAAUAUUACUUAUCAAUUCUAAGAUAGGAUGGCUUUCUAGGGACCUGGGGAGUCCUUAUGUUAAAGAAACCUAUGGUGUUCUCCUGCAUUGUAUGUGAUUAUGAAAAGGAGGGAGAGAAUUAUCUUCGUUGAGUGGCAUCUGAGCUGUAAGCAUUGUAUAUAUAUUAUCUUUUGUCAUUGUGAUGGGGUCUUCCUGGUUCCUGCUGGUAUUUAUGUGUUUUUUUUCCCCCUCAAGACUGGAGCAGUUAUUAGCCCCAAUAGCCAGUCAUUAAGCCUAAAGCCUAAUUCACAAUAGCAUUGUGGCCUUCCUGGAUCCUCAGCCAGAAUAGGGUUUUUACAGCUUAACAAUAACAAAUGAGACGUCAGAGGGGAAGUAUAGUAACUAGUGUUGUUUUGAUUAAGAAGGGGAUGAAACACAAAAACCAAAAGAAGUCUGUGGAGGAGGAGGAGCUAGGGCAUGUUCUUCUGAGACUUGAGCAAGAGGAACCUUAGGAGUGGGAGGUUGUGGGGAAGUUAGAGGCUGCAAGGGCUGUUGAGGUAGUGAGAGGGACGGAUCCCAUGAGGAGUCUGGCAUGGGGGCUCUGAUUUAGCCUCUUCCCUGCAGUGGACAAUGAGGAGGCUGCACUGCUGCAUGAAGAGGCUACCAUGACUAUUGAAGAGCUGCUGACACGCUACGGGCAGAACUGUCACAAGGGCCCUCCCCACAGCAAAUCUGGAGCCUCUGACAAGCUGCCUCGAGUUGCUAAGUCCAAGUUCUUUGAGGACAGUGAGGAUGAGUCAGAUGAGGCGGAGGAGGAAGAGGAAGACAGUGAGGAAUGCAGCGAGGAAGAGGAUGGCUACAGCAGUGAGGAGGCAGAGAAUGAGGAAGAUGAGGAUGACACCGAGGAGGCUGAAGAGGACGAUGAAGAAGAAGAAGAAGAGAUGAUGGUGCCAGGGAUGGAAGGCAAAGAGGAGCCUGGCUCUGACAGUGGUACAACAGCGGUGGUGGCCCUGAUACGAGGGAAGCAGUUGAUUGUAGCCAACGCAGGAGACUCUCGCUGUGUGGUAUCUGAGGCUGGCAAAGCUUUAGACAUGUCCUAUGAUCACAAACCAGAGGAUGAAGUAGAACUAGCACGCAUCAAGAAUGCUGGUGGCAAGGUCACCAUGGAUGGGCGAGUCAACGGGGGCCUCAACCUCUCCAGAGCCAUUGGGGACCACUUCUAUAAGAGAAACAAGAACCUGCCACCUGAGGAACAGAUGAUUUCAGCCCUUCCUGACAUCAAGGUGCUGACUCUCACUGACGACCAUGAAUUCAUGGUCAUUGCCUGUGAUGGCAUCUGGAAUGUGAUGAGCAGCCAGGAAGUUGUAGAUUUCAUUCAAUCAAAGAUCAGCCAGCGUGAUGAAAAUGGGGAGCUUCGGUUAUUGUCAUCCAUUGUGGAAGAGCUGCUGGAUCAGUGCCUGGCACCAGACACUUCUGGGGAUGGUACAGGGUGUGACAACAUGACCUGCAUCAUCAUUUGCUUCAAGCCCCGAAACACAGCAGAGCUCCAGCCAGAGAGUGGCAAGCGAAAACUAGAGGAGGUGCUCUCUACUGAGGGGGCUGAAGAAAAUGGCAACAGCGACAAGAAGAAGAAGGCCAAGCGGGACUAGCAGUCAUCCAGACCCCUGCCCACCUAGACUGUUUUCUGAGCCCUCCGGAACUGAGACUGAGUUUUGUCUUUUUCCUUUAGCCUUAGCAGUGGGUAUGAGGUGUGCAGGGGGAGCUGGGUGGCUUCACUCUGCCCAUUCCAAAGAGGGCUCUCCCUCCACACUGCAGCCGGGAGCCUCUGCUGUCCUCCCCAGCCGCCUCUUUGCUCCUCGGGCUCAUCACCGGUUCUGUGCCUGUGCUCUGUUGUGUUGGAGGGAAGGACUGGCGGUUCUGGUUUUUACUCUGUGAACACUUUAUUUAAGGACAUUCUUUUUUAUUGGCGGCUCCAUGGCCCUCGGCCGCUUGCACCCGCUCUCUGUUGUACACUUUCAAUCAACACUUUUUCAGACUAAAGGCCAAAACCUAAUCGU